This 460-nucleotide ribosomal RNA is filed under the name uncultured bacterium. Its description in RNAcentral is "partial 16S ribosomal RNA". It matches the Rfam family "Bacterial small subunit ribosomal RNA", at positions 338 to 795 of the family's 1533-position model. The record is from RNAcentral.
CCUACGGGUGGCUGCAGUGAGGAAUAUUGGUCAAUGGGCGCGAGCCUGAACCAGCCAAGUAGCGUGAAGGAUGACUGCCCUACGGGUUGUAAACUUCUUUUAUAAAGGAAUAAAGUGAGGCACGUGUGCCUCUUUGUAUGUACUUUAUGAAUAAUGAUCGGCUAACUCCGUGCCAGCAGCCGCGGUAAUACGGAGGCUCCGAGCGUUAUCCGGAUUUAUUGGGUUUAAAGGGAGCGUAGAUGGGUUGUUAAGUCAGUUGUGAAAGUUUGCGGCUCAACCGUAAAAUUGCAAUUGAUACUGGCAGCCUUGAGUACAGUUGAGGUAGGCGGAAUUCGUGGUGUAGCGGUGAAAUGCUUAGAUAUCGCGAAGAACACCGAUUGCGAAGGCAGCCUACUAAACUGCCACUGACAUUGAUGCUCGAAAGUGUGGGGAUCAAACAGGAUUAGAUACCCUAGUAGUC